RNAcentral lists this ribosomal RNA (305 nucleotides) under uncultured bacterium. RNAcentral's name for it is "bacterial SSU rRNA". It matches the Rfam family "Bacterial small subunit ribosomal RNA", at positions 335 to 633 of the family's 1533-position model. The record is from RNAcentral.
UGCCUACGGGGGGCAGCAGUAGGGAAUUUUCGUCAAUGGGCGCAAGCCUGAACGAGCGAUGCCGCGUGAGUGAAGAAGGUCUUCGGAUCGUAAAACUCUGUUGUUAGAGAAGAAAGUGCGUGAGAGUAACUGUUCACGUUUCGACGGUAUCUAACCAGAAAGCCACGGCUAACUACGUGCCAGCAGCCGCGGUAAUACGUAGGUGGCAAGCGUUAUCCGGAUUUAUUGGGCGUAAAGGGAACGCAGGCGGUCUUUUAAGUCUGAUGUGAAAGCCUUCGGCUUAACCGGAGUAGUGCAUUGGAAAA